Molecule: long non-coding RNA, 2913 nt
Organism: Nyctereutes procyonoides (raccoon dog)
Lineage: Eukaryota; Metazoa; Chordata; Mammalia; Carnivora; Canidae
Exons: 4
Source: RefSeq, a predicted model, not a curated record
AGGACGAGUGACUGACUGAGCUCGGGUACCGCCUGACGAGCCCUGCCGCGGCAGCGGCCGAUCCCUCGGCCGGACGCUGGUCCGUAAAGGUGGUCGGGCCCGGGCCCGGCCGGUCCCCCUCUGGCCUUUCCACCCGCAAAGUCGCAUUUGCAAUCUUGCACACCCUUCUGCCGCUUCCUGAGGAGCAGGGUGAGAGGGUCCCUUAGUAAGGUGUAGAGCGUACGGCCUUUCGGAUUGUUAAGGUCUGAGAACUCCUAAGAGGCGUGAUUUGGGCUGAACGUUUGAGGCGUAUGCUAUUUCUGAGGUGAUGGUUUGUGGACUCUGCAACAGCCUUCUCAGAGGUGCGGGGCCGGGGCCGUAGAAACCGCAGAACCGCUUCUCGGUUCCCGUCCUGCCCCGACCCGGGUAGCGGAUACCCGGGGGCAGUUCACUCCCGGCUGCGGAACGCCUUAAUCUGCAAAAUGGAGACGCUGUCCAGUGCACAGAGCCUUUGAGAAAUCAGGGCAUCGACACCGAUGGACCACCGUGAAACAAAGACUGGCAUUUAACGAUUUUUAAAUCUUAUUUAACCCUUCGUGGUUCCGCUGAAGGUUUGGAGCAGCUGAAGGGUUUUAAAUGAAGGAUGCAGAUAACCUAAAGUUAGAAUUCCCUGGUCUUGGAAGGACCUCAUACUUGGCCCAAGAGGAACUGUAGUGCCAGCUAUCAAAAUCGUGUUUCAACUCGGCUUCUAGUGGCACUUCCAGAACCAGCCUCACAGCACCACUUCUCCCUCCACCCCAGACUUAGCAGCAUGAGUCAGGCAGUGUGUUUCUGGAGAGGUCUGGGUCCCACAACCAUGUUCCUUCUCUUCUAAGCUGCUGGGUUCUGAGAACCCACCCUCCCCUCCACUCAUUGAUCUCUCGCCCCAAAGGCAGUUAUCUGCUUCUUGCUAUUAUUGUUGACAUGUUACUCCAGUGUUCUUUUUAAAAUUUUACAGCCGCUCCAACAUCUAUUUAAUCAAUUCCCUCUGCUAAAUUCUCUCUGCUGAAAUACUUGCCUUGGUUUCUUUUUUUUCCUGAGUGGUGGACCCUGACAAAUAUGAAUUGUGAAAUAAAACAUAGCUCCUGCUGUGAAUGUCAGUCCAAAAGGUUUAAGAAACACUACCUUAGAUGAGGGGGAGAGUUCUUCAAUAGACAGUUGCCCUAAGUGCUGAAGGGCCAGUCCUACCACACACAGGUGCUCUGCAUCUCAGGUAUGUGAAGAGCAGAGACACAGAGACCCAGGCCUGCCAUAGCAGCUCUCACCAUUGGAUGCCAGGCCUAGCUAGCUUGGCCCAUAAAAAUCACUGCUGGUGAGCCUACAGUUCUCUACCACAGUUUGGAUGGAACCCCAUGCUUCAUCUGGAGUCUGACCUCUCUUGGAUAUGUCGAAAACUCAGCUUUUUAAAGUUGCCCUUCUACACUUUUUAGCAAGUGAAGGAAAACAAAAGUUAACGAUGAAAAAACAAGGAAAAAAAAGAAAAGAAAAAAGCAAAGAAGUGGUACCAGAGACCUCAUUAAGUGGGACUUGGUGAGUCAAAGAGAAGGAUGAAAAGGAUUUCAGGGUGCAUAUUUUUCUCUGAUGCUGCCUUUUCUCACAGGUGAUAUGAGGAGGUAAUAGCCAAGAAAAGGAAGGGGAGAACCUUUUCCCUAUGUUUCUGCCAUAUCCAGCCCAAAUGAGUCUUUUGCUCUAUUUUAUUCAUGAACUUACUAUGCUUCUGCUUCAAUGCUCCCAUUAGAAGGGAGACACUCUUUAAAGACCAGAACUAUUAGGCCAGCCUCAUUUAAUCACAUAGUCUUAAUGAAAAGAACUGCUUUACAUUUGGGGAAUUCCAAAUAUUUCUUGUGUAUGCCAAAAUAAACAACAGAACCUCUUGGCAGUCGCCUGUGGGGAUUCUCCUUGCUUAUGAUUUUGUAUUUCUUUAUGCUAAUUUAGAAAUAUGAACAGAAAACCCAGGACUCGGGGCUGUUAAGUGGAUUUGUAACAGUCUGGAGUGUUGUGGGUAUGUAACUCAAUGAAUGAAUGUACAGCCCUCUGUGAUAGCUGAAGUAAUAGUACUUUCAUUGAGCACUGCAGUAAGUCAUCGUGUGUAUUCAGCAAGCUGCUAAUACAUUAGCAACACAUCUUUCACCUGUUUUAGGACCUUACAUUUAGUAGAGGAAUACAUAACUGAAUGUGAAUUGCUCAGGCAAAUGUUGGCAAGUUACUUCAUUUGUGACGUGUAGAACAUUUUCUAGCGAACUGAAAAGCAUGUCACCUUGUGAUUUCACCAGUGAAACACAUUACAAUGUAGGUGGCAUGUCACAGAGGAAAAGCAGUUUGUGAUCAGGUUUUCUAUUUGUAAAAGGCAGUGUUGUGCCAAGCAACCACAAGCACAAAACAUUUUAAGUCUGAAUGAAAAAAGGAGCGGUACGGCUGGGAUCCCAUUUCCCCUUCCAAGAAGAUAUAAGCCACUCUAGGGGGCUACUCCUGGUACCGGAAUCCUUUGCCUGUUUUUUUUCUGUGUCCUAUUUUAGUUUGACCUGUAGGGAAUUGAAAGGGAUGGGUUUAAGAGGUAAAUUCCAUUUCCUCUCUUCCCUCUGGUUUUUCUGCUACAUUUUAGGUCUUCUUUGUGAUUUAUGUGUGUAAAUGAUGUGACUUACAUGAAUCAUUCCUAAAUGGUUAACUAUUGAAGCAAACUGUUCAUCAUCCAGUUCUCUGCGAUACCCUUGCCUUAUGUUCACCAGGCUGCUUCCUCCUUUCUCAAAUCCCACCACAAAUUUCACGUCUUCAAGAAGCCCUUGCUGAUAGCUACAAUGAAGACUUCUAACAGCCUUUAUUCAUCCUUGUCUCUGUCCCUUUCCCCCAGCUCUCCGGUUAACUGUUGUCAUUAUCUGACAGUGAAGUCACAAUGAA